RNAcentral lists this ribosomal RNA (257 nucleotides) under uncultured bacterium. RNAcentral describes it as "partial 16S ribosomal RNA". It matches the Rfam family "Bacterial small subunit ribosomal RNA", at positions 103 to 354 of the family's 1533-position model. The record is from RNAcentral.
CGGGUGAGUAACACGUGGGUAACCUGCCCAAGAGACUGGGAUAACACCUGGAAACAGAUGCUAAUACCGGAUAACAACACUAGACGCAUGUCUAGAGUUUAAAAGAUGGUUCUGCUAUCACUCUUGGAUGGACCUGCGGUGCAUUAGCUAGUUGGUAAGGUAACGGCUUACCAAGGCAACGAUCAGUAGCCGGCCUGAGAGGGUGAACGGCCACAUUGGGACUGAGACACGGCCCAAACUCCUACGGGAGGCAGCAG